GACGAACGCUGGCGGCGUGCUUAACACAUGCAAGUCGAACGGAAAGGCCCUGCUUUUGUGGGGCGCUCGAGUGGCGAACGGGUGAGUAACACGUGAGUAACCUGCCCUUGACUUUGGGAUAACUUCAGGAAACUGGGGCUAAUACCGGAUAGGAGCUCCUGCUGCAUGGUGGGGGUUGGAAAGUUUCGGCGGUUGGGGAUGGAAUCGCGGCUUAUCAGCUUGUUGGUGGGGUAGUGGCUUACCAAGGCUUUGACGGGUAGCCGGCCUGAGAGGGUGACCGGCCACAUUGGUACUGCGAUACGGCCCAGACUCCUACGGGAGGCAGCAGUGGGGAAUAUUGCACAAUGGGCGGAAGCCUGAUGCAGCAACGCCGCGUGCGGGAUGACGGCCUUCGGGUUGUAAACCGCUUUCGCCUGUGACGAAGCGUGAGUGACGGUAAUGGGUAAAGAAGCACCGGCUAACUACGUG
This 468-nucleotide ribosomal RNA is filed under the name uncultured bacterium. RNAcentral's name for it is "partial 16S ribosomal RNA". It matches the Rfam family "Bacterial small subunit ribosomal RNA", at positions 28 to 507 of the family's 1533-position model. The record is from RNAcentral.